Molecule: long non-coding RNA, 277 nt
Filed under: Macaca mulatta (Rhesus monkey)
Lineage: Eukaryota; Metazoa; Chordata; Mammalia; Primates; Cercopithecidae
Description: lncRNA (ENSMMUG00000063708.1)
Source: RNAcentral
GGAAUAAGGUUUGCAGGCUGAGCACUGGAUUUAGUGUUGUCCUGCAGCAACCCCUCUUCCACUUGGGAAACACUGCAUUUACCUGCUAACUCAUUAGAGGCAUCCAGGUGUCUUGGCUGAUUCUCCUGAAUGAAGCCAUCGCUCCCUGAGUCCCUCCCUUUUGCUGGAUUUUAAAGGACCUAACAGUGUUUGCAAUACAUUGCCUACAGACCUCUAUUCUACCCUGAAAUGCAGCAUUUAUCCUGACCAUGCUGCUUAUCGCCUGUAUUGGAAUCAG